GCACUAGUGGUUUAGUGGUAAAAUUGGUCGUUGCCAUUUCACAGUUUCGACUAGCCCCCGGUUCGAUUCCGGGCUAGUGCA
Molecule: transfer RNA, 81 nt
Filed under: Scedosporium apiospermum
Lineage: Eukaryota; Fungi; Ascomycota; Sordariomycetes; Microascales; Microascaceae
Rfam family: tRNA
About the family: Transfer RNA (tRNA) molecules are approximately 80 nucleotides in length.
Source: Rfam by way of RNAcentral